ANNGGCUUCNGCUAUCACUUUUGGANGGUCCCGCGGCGUAUUAGCUAGAUGGUGNGGUAACGGCUCACCAUGGCAAUGAUACGUAGCCGACCUGAGAGGGUAAUCGGCCACAUUGGGACUGAGACACGGCCCAAACUCCUACGGGAGGCAGCAGUAGGGAAUCUUCCACAAUGGACGAAAGUCUGAUGGAGCAACGCCGCGUGAGUGAAGAAGGGUUUCGGCUCGUAAAACUCUGUUGUUAAAGAAGAACAUAUCUGAGAGUAACUGUUCAGGUAUUGACGGUAUUUAACCAGAAAGCCACGGCUAACUACGUGCCAGCAGCCGCGGUAAUACGUAGGUGGCAAGCGUUGUCCGGAUUUAUUGGGCGUAAAGCGAGCGCAGGCGGUUUUUUAAGUCUGAUGUGAAAGCCUUCGGCUCAACCGAAGAAGUGCAUCGGAAACUGGGAAACUUGAGUGCAGAAGAGGACAGUGGAACUCCAUGUGUAGCGGUGAANNGCNNAGAUAUAUGGAAGAACACCCNUUGGCNAANGCGGNUGUCUNGNCNGNNANUGACNCUGAGGCUCNAANNNNNG
Molecule: ribosomal RNA, 571 nt
Filed under: Lactiplantibacillus plantarum
Lineage: Bacteria; Bacillati; Bacillota; Bacilli; Lactobacillales; Lactobacillaceae
Description: Lactobacillus plantarum partial 16S ribosomal RNA
Rfam family: Bacterial small subunit ribosomal RNA
Source: RNAcentral